Molecule: ribosomal RNA, 375 nt
Filed under: uncultured organism
Description: partial 16S ribosomal RNA
Rfam family: Bacterial small subunit ribosomal RNA
Source: RNAcentral
GUAGGUGGCAAGCGUUGUCCGGAAUUAUUGGGCGUAAAGCGCGCGCAGGUGGUUCUUUAAGUCUGAUGUGAAAGCCCCCGGCUCAACCGGGAGGGUCAUUGGAAACUGGGGAACUUGAGUGCAGGAGAGGAAAGUGGAAUUCCACGUGUAGCGGUGAAAUGCGUAGAUAUGUGGAGGAACACCAGUGGCGAAGGCGACUUUCUGGCCUGUAACUGACACUGAGGCGCGAAAGCGUGGGGAGCAAACAGGGAUUAGAUACCCUGGUAGUCCACGCCGUAAACGAUGAGUGCUAAGUGUUGGGGGGGGUUUCCCGCCCCGUCAGUGCUGCAGCUAACGCAUUAAGCACUCCGCCUGGGGAGUACGGUCGCAAGACUG